This 1172-nucleotide ribosomal RNA is filed under the name Escherichia coli. RNAcentral's name for it is "partial 23S ribosomal RNA". It matches the Rfam family "Bacterial large subunit ribosomal RNA", at positions 1 to 1212 of the family's 2925-position model. Lineage: Bacteria; Pseudomonadati; Pseudomonadota; Gammaproteobacteria; Enterobacterales; Enterobacteriaceae. The record is from RNAcentral.
GGUUAAGCGACUAAGCGUACACGGUGGAUGCCCUGGCAGUCAGAGGCGAUGAAGGACGUGCUAAUCUGCGAUAAGCGUCGGUAAGGUGAUAUGAACCGUUAUAACCGGCGAUUUCCGAAUGGGGAAACCCAGUGUGAUUCGUCACACUAUCAUUAACUGAAUCCAUAGGUUAAUGAGGCGAACCGGGGGAACUGAAACAUCUAAGUACCCCGAGGAAAAGAAAUCAACCGAGAUUCCCCCAGUAGCGGCGAGCGAACGGGGAGCAGCCCAGAGCCUGAAUCAGUGUGUGUGUUAGUGGAAGCGUCUGGAAAGGCGCGCGAUACAGGGUGACAGCCCCGUACACAAAAAUGCACAUACUGUGAGCUCGAUGAGUAGGGCGGGACACGUGGUAUCCUGUCUGAAUAUGGGGGGACCAUCCUCCAAGGCUAAAUACUCCUGACUGACCGAUAGUGAACCAGUACCGUGAGGGAAAGGCGAAAAGAACCCCGGCGAGGGGAGUGAAAAAGAACCUGAAACCGUGUACGUACAAGCAGUGGGAGCACAGAGCAAUCUGUGUGACUGCGUACCUUUUGUAUAAUGGGUCAGCGACUUAUAUUCUGUAGCAAGGUUAACCGAAUAGGGGAGCCGAAGGGAAACCGAGUCUUAACUGGGCGUUAAGUUGCAGGGUAUAGACCCGAAACCCGGUGAUCUAGCCAUGGGCAGGUUGAAGGUUGGGUAACACUAACUGGAGGACCGAACCGACUAAUGUUGAAAAAUUAGCGGAUGACUUGUGGCUGGGGGUGAAAGGCCAAUCAAACCGGGAGAUAGCUGGUUCUCCCCGAAAGCUAUUUAGGUAGCGCCUCGUGAAUUCAUCUCCGGGGGUAGAGCACUGUUUCGGCAAGGGGGUCAUCCCGACUUACCAACCCGAUGCAAACUGCGAAUACCGGAGAAUGUUAUCACGGGAGACACACGGCGGGUGCUAACGUCCGUCGUGAAGAGGGAAACAACCCAGACCGCCAGCUAAGGUCCCAAAGUCAUGGUUAAGUGGGAAACGAUGUGGGAAGGCCCAGACAGCCAGGAUGUUGGCUUAGAAGCAGCCAUCAUUUAAAGAAAGCGUAAUAGCUCACUGGUCGAGUCGGCCUGCGCGGAAGAUGUAACGGGGCUAAACCAUGCACCGAAGCUGCGGCAGCGAC